RNAcentral lists this ribosomal RNA (435 nucleotides) under uncultured bacterium. RNAcentral describes it as "bacterial SSU rRNA". It matches the Rfam family "Bacterial small subunit ribosomal RNA", at positions 355 to 796 of the family's 1533-position model. The record is from RNAcentral.
UCGAGGAUCUUCGGCAAUGGGCGCAAGCCUGACCGAGCGACGCCGCGUGCGCGAUGAAGGCCUUCGGGUUGUAAAGCGCUGUCGAGGGGGAGGAAGACCCGCAAGGGCUUGACCUAUCCCUGGAGGAAGCACGGGCUAAGUUCGUGCCAGCAGCCGCGGUAAGACGAACCGUGCAAACGUUAUUCGGAUUCACUGGGCUUAAAGGGCGCGUAGGCGGGCGACAAGGUCGGAAGUGAAAGCCUCCCGCUCAACGGGAGAAGGGCUCCCGAUACCGGUCGUCUCGAGGGAGGUAGGGGCGAGUGGAACUUCCGGUGGAGCGGUGAAAUGCGUAGAUAUCGGAAGGAACGCCGGUGGCGAAAGCGGCUCGCUGGACCUCUUCUGACGCUGAGGCGCGAAAGCCAGGGGAGCAAACGGGAUUAGAUACCCCCGUAGUCC